CCCUUAGAUGUCCUGGGCCGCACGCGCGCUACACUGAUGCAUGCAACGAGUUUAUAACCUUGGCCUGAAAGGUCUGGGUAAUCUUUUGAACGAGCAUCGUGAUAGGGAUAGAUUAUUGCAAUUGUUAAUCUUGAACGAGGAAUUCCUAGUAAACGCGAGUCAUCAGCUCGCAUUGAUUACGUCCCUGCCCUUUGUACACACCGCCCGUCGCACCUACCGAUUGAAUGGUUCGGUGAAGAUCUCGGACUUCGAUAUUUAUUCUUUAUUGAGUUUAUAUUGUGGGAAGUUAUCUAAACCUCAUCAUUUAGAGGAAGGAGAAGUCGUAACA
RNAcentral lists this ribosomal RNA (328 nucleotides) under uncultured eukaryote. RNAcentral describes it as "partial 18S ribosomal RNA". It matches the Rfam family "Eukaryotic small subunit ribosomal RNA", at positions 1470 to 1796 of the family's 1831-position model. The record is from RNAcentral.